GAUGAACGCUGGCGGCGUGCCUAAUACAUGCAAGUCGAGCGAACAGACGAGGAGCUUGCUCCUCUGACGUUAGCGGCGGACGGGUGAGUAACACGUGGAUAACCUACCUAUAAGACUGGGAUAACUUCGGGAAACCGGAGCUAAUACCGGAUAAUAUAUUGAACCGCAUGGUUCAAUAGUGAAAGACGGUUUUGCUGUCACUUAUAGAUGGAUCCGCGCCGCAUUAGCUAGUUGGUAAGGUAACGGCUUACUAAGGCAACGAUGCGUAGCCGACCUGAGAGGGGGAUCGGCCACACUGGAACUGAGACACGGUCCAGACUCCUACGGGAGGCAGCAGUAGGGAAUCUUCCGCAAUGGGCGAAAGCUUGACGGAGCAACGCCGCGUGAGUGAUGAAGGUCUUCGGAUCGUAAAACUCUGUUAUUAGGGAAGAACAAAUGUGUAAGUAACUAUGCACGUCUUGACGGUACCUAAUCAGAAAGCCACGGCUAACUACGUG
This 497-nucleotide ribosomal RNA is filed under the name uncultured bacterium. RNAcentral's name for it is "partial 16S ribosomal RNA". It matches the Rfam family "Bacterial small subunit ribosomal RNA", at positions 28 to 507 of the family's 1533-position model. The record is from RNAcentral.